UUCAUGAAUCACUUUCACUCAAUUUCAUUUUCCCCCUUCUUCCAAGAUAACCAAAUUUCAUCUCCCUCUUUAUUUAUACCUGAGAAAGGUAGGGUGUGUUUGAGCGCUAACUUUUCAAUUUUCAUUUUUCAUUUCCCUCUCAGAUCCCCUGAUUUUGUUUUCCCUUUUUUUCCUUGAAAUUUACUAUUACACAUAAUUCAAACCAAACCCCCUCACCACUCGUUGACAUGACUCAAAUUCAAGCCUUAUCCACUUCUCUUCCCAAUCUCAAACCGCAUCACCACCAGCACCCCAGACACUUCCUACUGUUUCCAGAUCUGAAAGCUUAGACUGAAGACAGCCUCUCACCAUCUCUCAAACCGCAUCGUCUCCAUCCUCCCUCUUAUUCUCUUAUAACAUUUCACUAUGGGAGCUGAUGUGUUCCUUUGACAGGACAACUUUUGAUGGCACUGUUCCCGGACCUCCAAAAUAGUAGCGUUGAUGGUUGAUUAUGGUUUGCAUGGAGUUAUCUCUUCCUUGAUGUUAUGCUUUUUAAUGAACGAGGGGUUUCACAUUUGUUAUGAUGAUAGUGUCUUUCAAGUUUCAGGUGAUGCUAAGGAGAUUCUAUUUGGUUCACAUGAAAGUAUAGAUGUAGGGCUGGACAAAAACCAGCCAUCCGGUCCAAACCGUCCGGUCCGAAUGGCCCGUUGACGUGCGGGUCGGUCUAAACGGGUCAGGCGGUCUCAACGGGCUUGCAGAUUCGGUCUUGUAUGGAUACGUACGGUCGGUCUCGGAUGACAGAAAUCCAACCACGGUAACCCAAUACCGUCCGAAAUAUACUGAAUACUCUACAACAAUCUACUAUAUAUAUGACAUAUAUAGUAAAGAAAUUCAUUUUUCAAAAUAAUAUGUCUAAUCUCACAUUCCAUUAACCCAUUAAAAUUGGACACAUCAUUUCCUUGAGACCCACGAUGCUGACACAUCACAUGCUAAUACUCUUUCUUUUCUUAUUAUUACUUAUUAUUAUUACUUAUUUACUUCUUCCAUUGACAGGUCCCACUCCACUUUCACGUUUUCAACACACUUCCCCUUCCUCAUCUCUCUUUUCUCUCUCACAUAAUUCUUCUGGCUUCUUCUUCACCACAUAAACAAAACACCAACUCUUUGUAUUUCAAUGGAAAAAAGAAAUUCAUUUUCCAAAAUAAAGAAAGAAGAAAGCAACAUUUCAAUUGCAACAAAUUCAUCAUCAUUUAAUUGUUCUUCCAUUCUGUUUUAAAGGUUGUAGUUGUUGUUGUUCUGUUGAAGGUUGUUGUUGUAGUUUUCUGAAAUUGUUGAAAUUUCAGCUUUCCAUUUGAAUUUUACUUCCUUUCAAAAGUUUUAAUUUUUGAUUGAUUUAGUAACCGAAAAAACCCACCCAUCAAAACCGAUAUCCGAUCUAACCGUAAACCGACGUAACCGUAAACACUUGCGGACGGGAAUGGGCUUAGUUUUUCCAUCCGCGAAACCGAUUGAAACCGCGAUUUCUGGCCCGAAACCGUCCGAGUCCGACCGUUGUCCACCCCUAGAUGAGAGUGAUAAUAGUAAUGACGAGAUGGGCGAAGAUGACGAAUGUCCUUUAUAUUUAUUGAUACUGUUAGUCGGUUGGUUAUGUAUAUCCAUAUUCAUUGACUGUCAUUUGUUCGAAUCCUUAGAAAUGCCAUUUUUUUUUUUAAAAA
Long non-coding RNA from Medicago truncatula (barrel medic), 1694 nucleotides. RefSeq lists it as uncharacterized. The transcript is spliced from 2 exons. NCBI's taxonomy places the organism in Eukaryota, Viridiplantae, Streptophyta, Magnoliopsida, Fabales, Fabaceae. The record is from RefSeq and is a predicted model, not a curated record.